Molecule: long non-coding RNA, 2164 nt
Organism: Aphis gossypii (cotton aphid)
Lineage: Eukaryota; Metazoa; Arthropoda; Insecta; Hemiptera; Aphididae
Exons: 3
Source: RefSeq, a predicted model, not a curated record
GCCGACAAACAAGUCGGAUCGCACGUACAAGUCCGCCUCCCGCCGCCGCCGUACCGGAUGCGUCGUAAUGAAAAUUUUAAAAGCGCUCGGGGAUGUCGCUCGCUCGCUUGUGUGUGUGUGCGUAAACAUCAUAAUAUUUUCAUAUAUGUUUAUGUGCACGUGCGUGUGUGUCCCGUUAUAAAUGUAUUAUACGUCUGCAGUUGUGUGUGUGUGUGUGUGUGGCGACAGUGCACUGUGGUUUUUAAAAACGUUUGUCCGUCAUCCGUGUCCGGUUUUGUGCCCGCCGCGUAUAUGUGUGUGUGUCGUGUAGUAUAUGGAAAACAAAUGGACCGAAAACGCCGGAAACAGGAAAAAAGGGUCAAGACGCACACGCGGAUAAUUCGAUUUUAUACCCUUACCCUCGCGUUUACCACACACACACACACGCGCGCACCUUCUGUAUACUCGAGUAUUUCUGCAGGGUCUAUUGGACGGCGAUGUAUACAUAUAUAUAUAUAUUUUUAGGGGGGAAGAGAGGUCUUAAGUCUUCGGGUAGUGCAUGAGCGUGCACAUAAAUUUAAAACGACCGAAAAAGCCUUUCGCCCGCUUGUCACUAUAUGUGUACAAUAAUAUAUACGUAUACAUUCCACGGCGCAUCCUUCGCGAAGUACUGUUGCUAUUGCUGCUGCCGCGUGUUCGGCCGACCACUGUUUUUCGGUCGACAAAACAAAACAAAACCCGCGUAGAAUAUUAUUAUAUAUCUAUACACUUAUAUAGUAAAUAAGAAUUACGACCGUCUAAAAAAACAAUAAAUAUACGGAUACACUGAUCAAAAUUAACCGGUCGUUCGGAAAAAUAAACUGUUCUACACAUAUAAUAACAUGACGUACAGAAAUAUACCUUCUGCAGUGCAUCGCGUAGUAUAGACACUCGUGGAAAAAAUUCCUGGUGCAGUAUCCAGCACUACAAAUAGCGAAGAUUUUUGAAUCGCAAAAUUCGGUAAUAUAUUUGCCAAUUAUAUUGUAAUAUAUUCUGAUGUGCUAUUAUUAUACUAAAGUAUUAUACAUUGAUUAUUUGACUUACUAAUCAAUCAUCACAAAGUUCAAUUACUCAAUUAUUUGGUUGGACAAAUGCAUACAGUUUUACAAUUUAGAUAGUUAGAAGACCGCGGGUGAAUAUUAAAAAUACAAAUACAGAGUAUACAGACAUACAUAGUCGACGCAGGAUAUGGUCAAAAAAAGUAUAACAUACUAUAUUACGUUAGUGGAUUUGGGCUUGCUGAUUCCUAAGUUCCAACCUUUUCCCUCUUAUAAUGAUUAUCCUGUCAAUAAUAAGGAAGGAUACAAUGCCACUUUAGUACGUGAUGUACUACCAGAAUCAGAUAUACCUAUUAUACUCAACUACUCAAGUAUACCGCAUAGAAAAACCUAACCUUACGGAUUUACAGUAUACAGUAUACUGACAAACUGGCCAGAAAUAUCAUGUUUAUUAAAUCUUGAACCUAAUUAUUCUCCAGACAUAUAAUUAUAAAUUACCAAUGUUUCUACAUUAGUAAUGUAAUUUACAAAAAAUUACUGAUCCAACUGAAGACUGGUACUACUGUAGUGUACAAUAUAGAAUAGAUUUAAGUACAAAACAUUGUGUGUACAUCGUGUAUCAUAAGUAUGAUAUACGCGUGUAGAACAUACUACGUAUAAUAAUUAUUAUUAAUACUUAGGUAAUAAUUAUAAUUUAUAAUAAUAACAGCUGCAUUUUUAUAGAGCACUAAACAGAGAUGGCGUUGCUGGUACAAAUAGGUUUUAAGAAAAGGAAAAGGCAUUGACCUUGUUCAGUAUGCUACGAAGUAUAGUAGUAUACAUAUAUAUAUUAUAUUUAUCAUAUUAUGUAUACAUUUGUACAGGUACGCCACAGUACCCAUUCCAUUAUAGCACGAUUAAUGACUAUCAGAAUGGAUUUGAACAUGCAUUGUUAUUUAAGUAUUUUAAUUACUUAUAAUUGUAUAUGAUGUAGUUAAUGCUUAAAAUUUGUUGUUGAUGAAAUGUUGUUAUUAUAUCGUGUGGGAAAAAAUUGCAAAAAAUUGUUUGGAGGUGCAGGGAUUUGAACCCUGGACUUUCAGCAUGCGAAGCAGACACUCUACCACUGAGUUACACCCCCAGACGUAGGAUUUUACUGAAAAUGACAACAU